GACCUAGUGGGGCAUAGUGGUUUGAGCAUUGAGCUAGGACUCUGGAGACCUGGGUUUGAAUCCCAGAUUGGCCA
This is a non-coding RNA of Phrynosoma platyrhinos (Desert horned lizard), 74 nucleotides long. The record is from the annotation of a GenBank genome assembly. Lineage: Eukaryota; Metazoa; Chordata; Lepidosauria; Squamata; Phrynosomatidae.